AUGGAAGGGCCAUCGCUCAACGGAUAAAAGGUACUCCGGGGAUAACAGGCUGAUACCGCCCAAGAGUUCAUAUCGACGGCGGUGUUUGGCACCUCGAUGUCGGCUCAUCACAUCCUGGGGCUGAAGUCGGUCCCAAGGGUAUGGCUGUUCGCCAUUUAAAGUGGUACGCGAGCUGGGUUUAGAACGUCGUGAGACAGUUCGGUCCCUAUCUGCCGUGGGCGUUGGAAGAUUGAAGGGGGCUGCUCCUAGUACGAGAGGACCGGAGUGGACGAACCUCUGGUGUUCGGGUUGUGUCGCCAGACGCAUUGCCCGGUAGCUAAGUUCGGAAUUGAUAAGCGCUGAAAGCAUCUAAGCGCGAAGCGAGCCCUGAGAUGAGUCUUCCCUGACAGUUUAACUGUCCUAAAGGGUUGUUCGAGACUAGAACGUUGAUAGGCAGGGUGUGUAAGCGUUGUGAGGCGUUGAGCUAACCUGUACUAAUUGCCCGUGAGGCUUAACCAUACAACACCCAAGGGGUUUUGUA
RNAcentral lists this ribosomal RNA (520 nucleotides) under Vibrio cholerae. RNAcentral's name for it is "bacterial LSU rRNA". It matches the Rfam family "Bacterial large subunit ribosomal RNA", at positions 2433 to 2925 of the family's 2925-position model. The record is from RNAcentral. Lineage: Bacteria; Pseudomonadati; Pseudomonadota; Gammaproteobacteria; Vibrionales; Vibrionaceae.